GGGAGCAUAGCUCAGUUGGUUCAGAGCAUCUGCCUUACAAGCAGAGGGUCACAGGUUCGAAUCCUGUUGCUCCCA
This 75-nucleotide transfer RNA is filed under the name Flexibacter flexilis DSM 6793. It matches the Rfam family "tRNA". Rfam says of the family: Transfer RNA (tRNA) molecules are approximately 80 nucleotides in length. The record is from Rfam by way of RNAcentral. Lineage: Bacteria; Pseudomonadati; Bacteroidota; Cytophagia; Cytophagales; Flexibacteraceae. RNAcentral also lists the same sequence under 1 other name.